CAGGUGAUCCGCCCGCCUCAGCCUCCCAAAGUGCUGGGAUUACAGUGCCAACUGACAUGAACAACCCAGCUUACUGCAGCAAAACAGAUCAUAUAGACGAGAAGGAAACCAAGAGACAAGGUGAAGAAUAUGUAAUAUUCUCAAGACCUAAGCCAUGAUGAUGUUUCUGGGACUAAACUUAGAUUAAAGAAUCUACUUCUUCUUCAUUUGUUUUCUGUAUAAUUUGUUAUUCCUUUCAACUUAAAUUAUUUUCUAAUGAAAUGUUCUGCUUACAUUUUUUACCCUCCUACAAUGAGACAAAUAAUAAAUUCAUAAAUAUUGCUUGCAUAAUAGGGGACCAAUAUAUAUAAUGCAUAUAUUAUAUAAUGUAUAUAUAACGUCUUUUAAAUGAUAAAGGAAAAAAUAAUUUCUAAAUGUAUACACUUUCAUUGAAAGCAACCUUAGAGAUUAAAAAAAUGCGGCCGGG
Molecule: long non-coding RNA, 466 nt
Filed under: Homo sapiens (human)
Lineage: Eukaryota; Metazoa; Chordata; Mammalia; Primates; Hominidae
Description: HSALNT0307809
Source: RNAcentral